This is a long non-coding RNA of Hippocampus comes (tiger tail seahorse), 686 nucleotides long. RefSeq lists it as uncharacterized. The record is from RefSeq and is a predicted model, not a curated record. NCBI's taxonomy places the organism in Eukaryota, Metazoa, Chordata, Actinopteri, Syngnathiformes, Syngnathidae. The transcript has 6 exons.
GUUAGGGGGCAGUGGCGCUCUCAUUGGCAGAGUUUGCGCAGGGAGCAUUCUAAGGGAGGAAAUAAGAUGAGGCGUAUGUAACACUUGGCUUCACUGUGACAAGUUGGUGGCAGACGAGGAAAGAUCGUUGUUUUUGUGUGCAUUGGCCACUCCAUUGGUCCCUUCUGCAAAGUCACGUUUGAUGCCAAAAGGUGCUACUUCCAAAUCAUCGAGGAUGAAAACCCGCUUUGCGCUCCUUAUCAGUGGAUCAAUGGGACGAACUUUGUGCUGGCUAACCACAAACAAAUGUCCGUACCUGACAUUGUAAUCCAUGGAUGGAACGACACCUAUCUUCAGCUCAGCACGUGUUUGGAGAAAAUCAGUCGCAAACGAAACUGCCACAGAGAGGAUCAUGAACAAACUGUCGACUGCAAUGUUGACUGCAGUAAAAUUUCAAAAGCUCUCCAGUCUAAUGGAAUUACACCUGGGAUUUCCAUUGCCGUGCUGCUGCUCUCUCUGGUGGUUCUGGGGUUCGUUGGUUGGUUCGACAUCCGCCCCAGAGUUACUGGGAAAAGAAAAACUUGCGGAUCAUUUACAGCAGCAAAAUUAUUAAAGGGAGAACUAGACAAACAACAAGUACAUAAAUUAAUGGCGGCAAACGAUUAAAAUAUUUAAUUGUGAUUAAAUGUAUAAAUGUCACCGUUAAC